CUCAUGUUUCCCCUGCUCUGAAUAUAAACCCCUGCCCAAUUCUGAGAAGUACCACCUGCCUGCACAAGAGUGUGUUUAUGGGGUAUUCAUGUUUGGAUCACUGUAGCUGGACAAUCUUUCUUGGCUUUUGAGCUGUUUUGCUCUAGGGGCUCCUGCUUGUGCCUCCUGAUUAGUGACCAGCUGUGACUCCACCACUUCCUUGCCAAGAAAUCUGCACUUGAAGCCCUCUGAGAAGAUAUGUCCUCAGCUCUCCCAGCACUGAGACAUGCAAUUGAAAGGAUACAACACCAACCCCAAAUCAGGAUUCUACAGGCUAAGGAUCUGUGCCCCUGACCUUUUUGGAGGCCCAACCUGCUUGUCAGUGCUCUGGCUCAAGAAGCUGCAGCCUGCCAUACCCACCUGCUGGCCUCUUGGCAAGGAGGAAAGUGUGACGUGUGCCUUGCUGAGCAAAGCAAAAUGACAUUGCUGCCUAUCCCAGCCAGUUGUCAGCAUGUCCAGUGCUAAUUGUGUCAUUGCUGCACUACUGCCGUUUCUGCAAAGAUAAGGAAGAAACACUUUUCUUGCAGUAGAGGCAAUGUAAGCAGUGUCUGAGGUUGAUAAGCGACAUGGCAUGGCCUAGGAGGAACCAAUAAAUGAAGAAAAAAAAGCAGAAACUUUGUGUCCUUUGAACUAUCCACUUUUGGUAUCGGAGAUGUUGCUGAGCUUUUGUUCUGUGCAAGAAGCCUUCCUCUUUCAUCAGUCUUUCACUUGAGCACUUACUGGGACCUUCUUCACCUAGAUCACUCAUAAAAGGCUGAAAUCGUGCUAAUUCUCAGGAUGGGAUUGUUAAUAAGGGUAUGAAGAAGCGAUGGGAAGUCUAGCCACAAAUGAGGUCUAGGAUAUUUUCAGUUCUCUGAAGAGCCUCCAUCCAUUUAAACCUCGAGUAAUGUUUCUCUUAUAAAGCACAAGUGUGAAGCAGCGUGAGCCAAACAUUUUCUCUUAUUUGUCUUCCACAAUAUUCUUGGUGGCAAAAACUAUUGCUCAUUUAACAAAAAAAUCCUAAGUGUUAUACCAGUAAUAAAGAAAACAGUUUGCAUUUCAGAUGAAGAGGCAAUAACGUAUCACAAAAUAUUUACUCUACCCAGAAGAGCAGCAAUUUACAGACAAUUUAACAGCAAUUUGACUCUUUUUGUGUAUAUAUUUAAAGCUUGCAGCGAUGUUUUCACACUCAGGUUUUCAUUUGUGCAUUAAGUAAUUUUCUUUAAGGCUUAGAAUUUGAUCGGGUAAUAUCUUGAAUUUAAAUUCUCCCAAAGCUAAUAGCGGUCUAGAUCUGAGGUUUUU
RNAcentral lists this long non-coding RNA (1320 nucleotides) under Gallus gallus (chicken). Lineage: Eukaryota; Metazoa; Chordata; Aves; Galliformes; Phasianidae. The record is from RNAcentral.